GCCGCCCCGGUGGCGGCCGCGGCCAAGGCCCAGGUGCCCGCCUCGCCUUCGCUCGAUCUGAGCCUCGGGAUGUCGGCCAUGGUGGCCGCCCAGCCGUUCCUGUUCCUCGACCCCAGGGUCGCGGUGACCGUGGCCGUCGCGGCACCGGUGCCUCGCCGGCCGGCCGUCGUCAGCGUCAAGAAGGAGGUAGCUCGCCUGGACGAGCAGAGCGACACCGGCUCGUCGUCAUCCGUGGUGGACGCCUCGCCGGCCGUCGGCGUGGGGCUCGACCUGAACCUGCCGCCGCCGAUCGAGGAGGCGUAGGUUGCAGCGCCCGAUGACGACGACAAGACCCCCCCAC
This 340-nucleotide long non-coding RNA is filed under the name Oryza sativa (Asian cultivated rice). RNAcentral's name for it is "long non-coding RNA (OSAT_LNC000848)". The record is from RNAcentral. Lineage: Eukaryota; Viridiplantae; Streptophyta; Magnoliopsida; Poales; Poaceae.